Molecule: long non-coding RNA, 1021 nt
Filed under: Linum usitatissimum (flax)
Lineage: Eukaryota; Viridiplantae; Streptophyta; Magnoliopsida; Malpighiales; Linaceae
Description: long non-coding RNA (LUSI_LNC004456)
Source: RNAcentral
GCGUAACCAUCAUACCAUUCUCUAUAAUAUAUAGAAAUAAGGCUGCAAUUAAAGUACCAAGCAAGUACAAACGGAGGACACAAACUCUUUAUUUUCAUUGAUAAAUGAAGGUUACCAAAGUCUUAAGUAGUAUGAUCUUACUAACCAGCUCUCAAUUUGCGCAAACCUUAUUUCCUGAUAUUUAUCUAUCAUAACCUUAUUUAACCAUUAUAUAUCUUCCUUUUUCGGAUUUGUGAUCAAGCUUUUUCCGCCCUCCUUCUGGCCGGCCUUGCCGAAGCAAGGUCAGUAGCAGAGGGCACUGUCCCCCUCCUCCUAGAUGGUCUUGCCGAAGCAAGGCCAAUGGUAGCGGCUAGCAUCGCCCUCCUCUUGACCGGCCUUGCCAAACACAUAAUAAUUGAAGAGGCUAGCAUCGGCCUCCUCCUCAUGGCCCUUGCCGAACACAUAAUAGUUGAAGAGGCUGGCAUCGGCCUCCUCCUCGUGGCCCUUGCAGAACACAUAAUAGUUGAAGAGGCUCGCAUCGUCCACCUCCUGACCAGCCUUGCCGAACACAUAAUAGUUGAAGAGGCUAGCAUCGCCCUCCUCCUCAUGGCCCUUGCCGAACACAUAAUAGUUGAAGAGGCUAGCAUCGCCCUCCUCCUGGCCGGCCUUUCCGAACACAUAAUAGUUGAAGAGGCUCGCAUCUCCCUCCUCCUCAUGGCCCUUUCCGAACACAUAAUAGUUGAAGAGGCUCGCAUCUCCCUCCUCCUCAUGGCCCUUUCCGAACACAUAAUAGUUGAAGAGGCUCGCAUCGCCCACCUCCUGACCGGCCUUUCCGAACACAUAAUAGUUGAAGAGGCUCGCAUCUUCCUCCUCCUCAUGGCCCUUUCCUAACACAGGCCAGUGGUAGUGGCUAGCGUCGCCCUUUCGAGAGACAGGACCAACAAACGACUUGGUUGUCGUAUUUUUCUCGGCGGGAAAGACGAGAGUUUUGGAGUUGGAUACGCGAGCAACUGCCGACGAUGCUACCAUCGGCGGUCUGGUU